GAUGAACGCUGGCGGCGUGCCUAAUACAUGCAAGUCGAGCGAACAGACGAGGAGCUUGCUCCUCUGACGUUAGCGGCGGACGGGUGAGUAACACGUGGAUAACCUACCUAUAAGACUGGGAUAACUUCGGGAAACCGGAGCUAAUACCGGAUAAUAUAUUGAACCGCAUGGUUCAAUAGUGAAAGACGGUUUUGCUGUCACUUAUAGAUGGAUCCGCGCCGCAUUAGCUAGUUGGUAAGGUAACGGCUUACCAAGGCAACGAUGCGUAGCCGACCUGAGAGGGUGAUCGGCCACACUGGAACUGAGACACGGUCCCGACUCCUACGGGAGGCAGCAGUAGGGAAUCUUCCGCAAUGGGCGAAAGCCUGACGGAGCAACGCCGCGUGAGUGAUGAAGGUCUUCGGAUCGUAAAACUCUGUUAUUAGGGAAGAGCAAAUGUGUAAGUAACUAUGCACGUCUUGACGGUACCUAAUCAGAAAGCCACGGCUAACUACGUG
Molecule: ribosomal RNA, 497 nt
Filed under: uncultured bacterium
Lineage: Bacteria
Description: partial 16S ribosomal RNA
Rfam family: Bacterial small subunit ribosomal RNA
Source: RNAcentral